Long non-coding RNA from Cydia fagiglandana, 173 nucleotides. RefSeq lists it as uncharacterized. NCBI's taxonomy places the organism in Eukaryota, Metazoa, Arthropoda, Insecta, Lepidoptera, Tortricidae. The transcript has 2 exons. The record is from RefSeq and is a predicted model, not a curated record.
CUUUGUUUCCCAUAAAGUUUUAAGUCAUAAUGUAACGUUUGUCAUAUUAUCGUUAGUCAUAAAACUGAAACCGUUAACUUUUCAGGAUUUUGGUAAGGUUAUUUUAUGGAUAGGUUAGGUUAGGUUUGUUUUAUGGCAAUCCUGAAAAGUUACGCGUUUCUGAGAAAAAACAA